Long non-coding RNA from Callithrix jacchus (white-tufted-ear marmoset), 1680 nucleotides. RefSeq lists it as uncharacterized. Lineage: Eukaryota; Metazoa; Chordata; Mammalia; Primates; Cebidae. The record is from RefSeq and is a predicted model, not a curated record.
UACACAAAGUUGAGAACAGCAGUCUCCUAGGAGAAAAUAUGAGGCAACUAUGACUAAAAGAACUAAGGCUGAAGGCAAUUUUUCUCCAAACUGUUAUCAUCAUUUGUGAAUUACUUUUUCUCUUUAAGAAAAAAAAGAAAAUUAAUAAAAUGGAAAACAUUUCAAAUCACAAAAGUUUGUGCUAUGGAAGAUUUUCAAAAUGCUUGCUGCAGAAGUUCUUUCAAUCCCAGAAGACUUUAAAAAAUUGUUGAGUUCAGGUUACUCUGGUGGAGCAAAUGCAAGAAGCAAGGCAAGGAGAAACGAAGUGGACGCUACUGUGAUACAGUGAAUGUGAGGAGGUGCACAGAUGAGUGAGCCCCAACACUAGAGGGGUGAACACCUAGGCACUGAUGGGCUGACAUCAUCUUGCUGAGGGCCCCACUCUGUCACCCAGGCUGGAGUACAGUGGUGCGAUCUUGGGUUACUGCAACCUCUGCCUCCUGAGCUCAAGCAAUCCUUCCACCUCAAGUAGCUGGAACUACAGGAGGUGAAUCAUCCCUUUGUCCAGCGUGUCCGUGCUGUAUACACUACCUGCCCGUCCAUCACUCAGUAGCUUUCUGCGGUAACAUCUUAAACCAUCACAAGAAGGGUGUGCCCCAGCCCCCAGCACUGUGUCUGGCCUAGAGUGGAACCUUAUUAAAGAGAUUAAGGAGUAGAUGGAGCUGAAUGUUAGUUAUUCCUCAUGCCUCAUACUACCUUGUGGGGGAACUUCCGGUAGACUCACACUCCUGGCCUCUCUCCCCAUCCCUUGCCUGUGUGAAGAAGCAAGGACAGCCCCUAAGAGGGAGGCUCCUUCCAUCCAGCUGUUGGGGAUGUGUGAAUGGCUACAGACUUCUAAUCAGCGUUAUCUGUAAUAACAGAUCAAUAUCUUGAACUCCAUCAUUCCAACAUCAUCUUGAGCUCUGAAUCUUCUCGGUCAAGGAGGGGAAAGAAGCGUUAUAGAAAAGUGAAACUGGAGGCCAUGGUUUAGAUGUUCCCACAGCCAUCCACCCAUAACCAUGUGGCCAACACUGAAGUCAUCCUGUUUUCCUUGAGGUGCUAGAAGUGCUGGCUCUAAUCAUAACUGAAACACAAGACAUAAGCUUCACGUCCUUGUCAGCAUGAUUCGUUGAAAUUAAACCCAUCAGCUCCAGACAAAUCAGUCCUAACGGUUCUACUUGCCCUAAAAAGAAUGUUCAUGUAUAACAACCAAUCGAGAAAAAGGUCAAAAUACUUCCUUCGUUAUGCUUCACAGACACUGAGCUGCCAAGCUGCAAGGCGAGCUUCUUACCACCUGGCUUGAAGUCUCCCAGAUAAAAAUCUAUACUUUCUCUCAUUGUAUGACAACAAACUUUCAAAUAGGUCCUCAUUUCUUCUGAUUGUUUUGGUUAAAGGCAAUUAUUUGUUAGCCUCUCACUCCCAGGUCAGUUGUCUUUAUUUUCGCUAUUUGCCUCGUCCUACCCCACUGCUCAGUCUUUCAGUGUGUGUAGACACACGUAGACAUAUGCACUGUCGCAUGAGUAGACACAUGCACUAUUCAUCAUUUUGGUUUCUUUCUGCCUUUUUGCAAGAGGCAGAGAGAAAUCAGCAGAUUCCUCACCCCUGGAGCAGGAAGACCUUGGUAAGGACUCACGGUGAGCUCUGCCUUCAGAGCCCCUCCUG